Long non-coding RNA from Syzygium oleosum, 160 nucleotides. RefSeq lists it as uncharacterized. The record is from RefSeq and is a predicted model, not a curated record. Lineage: Eukaryota; Viridiplantae; Streptophyta; Magnoliopsida; Myrtales; Myrtaceae. The transcript is spliced from 2 exons.
AGGCUGUUGCUGAUAUUAUCCGCACCACCUUGGGCCCAAGGUCCAUGUUGAAGAUGCUACUUGAUGCUAGUGGAGAGAACAUGAAGAAUUGGUUAGAAAAUAUUCAUCUAAGACGGAGUUGACAAGGUUGGAAUAAAGGAAUCAUAGAUAAUAUCUAAAA